AAACGGAGGGUGCGAGCGUUAUCCGGAAUCAUUGGGCGUAGAGGGUUCGUAGGCGGUUUAGUAAGUAUGUUGUCAAAGUUCACUGCUUAACGGUGAAAAUGCAACGUAUACUACUAAACUAGGAGUUUGUUGGGAGUGCUGGAAUUCCCGGUGGAGGGGUGAAAUCCGUGGAGAUCGGGAAGAACACCAAGGGCGAAGGCAGGCACUUAAGCAACACUCGACGCUGAGGAACGAAAGCUAGGGUAGCAAAAGGGAUUAGAGACCCCUGUAGUCCUAGCUGUAAACAUUGCUUGCUAGCUGUCCCGGUUUAGCUGGGGUGGCGUAAGCUAACGCGUUAAGCAAGCCGCCUGGGAAGUACGACCGCAAGGUUAAA
RNAcentral lists this ribosomal RNA (373 nucleotides) under uncultured bacterium. RNAcentral describes it as "bacterial SSU rRNA". It matches the Rfam family "Bacterial small subunit ribosomal RNA", at positions 523 to 898 of the family's 1533-position model. The record is from RNAcentral.